GACGAACGCUGGCGGCGUGCUUAACACAUGCAAGUCGAACGGUGAAGCUCCAGCUUGCUGGAGUGGAUCAGUGGCGAACGGGUGAGUAACACGUGAGCAACCUGCCCCUGACUCUGGAAUAAGCGCUGGAAACGGCGUCUAAUACUGGAUACGAGAAGGGUCCGCAUGGGCACUUUCUGGAAAGUUUUUCGGUUGGGGAUGGGCUCGCGGCCUAUCAGCUUGUUGGUGAGGUAAUGGCUCACCAAGGCGACGACGGGUAGCCGGCCUGAGAGGGCGACCGGCACAAGGGGGAAUAGAGACGGGCCCGGGACCCUAGGGGGGGAAGGAGGGGGGAAGGUUGAAAAAGGGGGCAAGGCUGGUAGGAGCGGCCCCGGGGGGGGGAGAGCGGCGUGGGGGUGGAAAACAGUUUUCAGCAGGGAAGAAGGGAAAGGGAGGGUACCUGAAGAAAAAGCACCGGCUAAUUACGG
RNAcentral lists this ribosomal RNA (467 nucleotides) under uncultured bacterium. RNAcentral's name for it is "partial 16S ribosomal RNA". It matches the Rfam family "Bacterial small subunit ribosomal RNA", at positions 28 to 506 of the family's 1533-position model. The record is from RNAcentral.